RNAcentral lists this ribosomal RNA (904 nucleotides) under uncultured Flavobacteriaceae bacterium. RNAcentral's name for it is "bacterial SSU rRNA". It matches the Rfam family "Bacterial small subunit ribosomal RNA", at positions 48 to 958 of the family's 1533-position model. Lineage: Bacteria; Pseudomonadati; Bacteroidota; Flavobacteriia; Flavobacteriales; Flavobacteriaceae. The record is from RNAcentral.
CUUACACAUGCAAGUCGAGGGGUAUAGUUCUUCGGAGCUAGAGACCGGCGCACGGGUGCGUAACGCGUAUGCAAUCUACCUUUUACAGAGGGAUAGCCCAGAGAAAUUUGGAUUAAUACCUCAUAGUAUGUGAGAAUCGCAUGGUUUUCACAUUAAAGUUCCAACGGUAAAAGAUGAGCAUGCGUCCCAUUAGCUAGAUGGUAAGGUAACGGCUUACCAUGGCAACGAUGGGUAGGGGUCCUGAGAGGGAGAUCCCCCACACUGGUACUGAGACACGGACCAGACUCCUACGGGAGGCAGCAGUGAGGAAUAUUGGACAAUGGGCGCAAGCCUGAUCCAGCCAUGCCGCGUGCAGGAUGACGGUCCUAUGGAUUGUAAACUGCUUUUGUACAGGAAGAAACACUCCCUCGUGAGGGAGCUUGACGGUACUGUAAGAAUAAGGAUCGGCUAACUCCGUGCCAGCAGCCGCGGUAAUACGGAGGAUCCAAGCGUUAUCCGGAAUCAUUGGGUUUAAAGGGUCCGUAGGCGGUUUAAUAAGUCAGUGGUGAAAGCCCAUCGCUCAACGGUGGAACGGCCAUUGAUACUGUUAAACUUGAAUUAUUAGGAAGUAACUAGAAUAUGUAGUGUAGCGGUGAAAUGCUUAGAGAUUACAUGGAAUACCAAUUGCGAAGGCAGGUUACUACUAAUGGAUUGACGCUGAUGGACGAAAGCGUGGGUAGCGAACAGGAUUAGAUACCCUGGUAGUCCACGCCGUANACGAUGGAUACUAGCUGUUGGGAGCAAUCUCAGUGGCUAAGCGAAAGUGAUAAGUAUCCCACCUGGGGAGUACGUUCGCAAGAAUGAAACUCAAAGGAAUUGACGGGGGCCCGCACAAGCGGUGGAGCAUGUGGUUUAAUUCGAUGAU